AUUGAACGCUGGCGGCAGGCCUAACACAUGCAAGUCGAACGGUAACAGAAAGCGGCUUGCUGCUUUGCUGCCGAGUGGCGGCCGGGUGAUUAAUGUCUGGGAAACUGCCUGAUGGAGGGGGAUAACUACUGGAAACGGUAGCUAAUACCGCAUAACGUCGCAAGCCCAAAGAGGGGGACCUUCGGGCCUCUUGCCAUCGGAUUUGCCCAGAUGGGAUUAGCUAGUAGGUGGGGUAACGGCUCACCUAGGCGACGAUCCCUAGCUGGUCUGAGAGGAUGACCAGCCACACUGGAACUGAGACACGGUCCAGACUCCUACGGGAGGCAGCAGUGGGGAAUAUUGCACAAUGGGCGCAAGCCUGAUGCAGCCAUGCCGCGUGUAUGAAGAAGGCCUUCGGGUUGUAAAGUACUUUCAGCGGGGAGGAAGGGAGUAAAGUUAAUACCUUUGCUCAUUGACGUUACCCGCAGAAGAAGCACCGGCUAACUCCGUG
This 490-nucleotide ribosomal RNA is filed under the name uncultured bacterium. Its description in RNAcentral is "partial 16S ribosomal RNA". It matches the Rfam family "Bacterial small subunit ribosomal RNA", at positions 30 to 507 of the family's 1533-position model. The record is from RNAcentral.